This 253-nucleotide ribosomal RNA is filed under the name uncultured bacterium. RNAcentral's name for it is "partial 16S ribosomal RNA". It matches the Rfam family "Bacterial small subunit ribosomal RNA", at positions 524 to 776 of the family's 1533-position model. The record is from RNAcentral.
UACGUAGGGCGCAAGCGUUGUCCGGAUUUAUUGGGCGUAAAGAGCUCGUAGGCGGUCCGUCACGUCGGCUGUGAAAACCCGAGGCUCAACCUCGGGCCUGCAUUCGAUACGGGCGGACUAGAGUGCGGUAGGGGAGACUGGAAUUCCUGGUGUAGCGGUGGAAUGCGCAGAUAUCAGGAGGAACACCGGUGGCGAAGGCGGGUCUCUGGGCAGUAACUGACGCUGAGGAGCGAAAGCGUGGGGAGCGAACAGG